CUCUUACUCUGGAUACAUAGUGAAGCUUUUGACAGCAUACGAUCAAGAAUUCCAGCACAAUUACCAAGUGUUUAAGACUUUGUCCCUUCCUAGUCAUGAGCCAACAGUUUGCUAGGAAUUUCAUUUAUUAUAAGGAAAGGAAAUGUGAUAAAUAUCAUGAGCAAUCUAAGUGGCAUCUGGUUUUAUUUAUCAUAUUUGAAGGUAUCCAAGGCAUCUCCUGAGUUAUUUUGUACCUCAUCCUUAGCAAGAGCAUUUGGGUAUUUCUUAGAACUCUUUUGAGUUGAAAUCUAGACAUCAUCAAUCAAGUAUGUGGCUGAUGCAUUGAGGCCACAAAUCAGGAUUUCAUCUGAAAGGUCCCAAAGCAUUUAAGGAAAAUUCUCAGUGUAAGAUUUUAUCAGCAAACUCUUAAACACGUGGCGGACUUACCUGCCUUUGCUGAGAUACAGUGGGAUCU
Long non-coding RNA from Mastomys coucha (southern multimammate mouse), 454 nucleotides. RefSeq lists it as uncharacterized. The transcript is spliced from 3 exons. The record is from RefSeq and is a predicted model, not a curated record. NCBI's taxonomy places the organism in Eukaryota, Metazoa, Chordata, Mammalia, Rodentia, Muridae.